CAGGCUCUUAAAUCAGCCUGAAUAGUGGUGCAUGGAAUAAUGGAACAGGACCUUGGUUCUAUUUUGUUGGUUUUCGGAAUCCAAGGUAAUGAUCAAUAAGGACAGGCGGGGGCAUUCGUAUUGCGACGUUAGAGGUGAAAUUCUUGGAUCGUCGCAAGACGCACUAGAGCGAAAGCAUUUGCCAAGUAUGUCUUAAUUGAUCAAGAACGAAAGUUAGAGGUUCGAAGGCGAUCAGAUACCGCCCUAGUUCUAACCAUAAACGAUGCCAGCCAGCGAUCCGCCGACGUUCCUCCGAUGACUCGGCGGGGAGCUUUCCCCGGGAAACCAAAGCUUUUGGGUUCCGGGGGAAGUAUGGUUGCAAAGCUGAAACUUAAAGGAAUUGACGGAAGGGCACCACCAGGAGUGGAGCCUGCGGCUUAAUUUGACUCAACACGGGAAACCUCACCAGGCCCGGACAUUGGAAGGAUU
This 468-nucleotide ribosomal RNA is filed under the name Nariscus sp. CMF 0908. RNAcentral's name for it is "SSU rRNA". It matches the Rfam family "Eukaryotic small subunit ribosomal RNA", at positions 781 to 1241 of the family's 1831-position model. The record is from RNAcentral. Lineage: Eukaryota; Metazoa; Arthropoda; Insecta; Hemiptera; Alydidae.